CUAACACAUGCAAGUCGAGCGGCAGCGGAAAGUAGCUUGCUACUUUGCCGGCGAGCGGCGGACGGGUGAGUAAUGUCUGGGAAACUGCCUGAUGGAGGGGGAUAACUACUGGAAACGGUAGCUAAUACCGCAUAACGUCGCAAGACCAAAGAGGGGGACCUUCGGGCCUCUUGCCAUCAGAUGUGCCCAGAUGGGAUUAGCUAGUAGGUGGGGUAACGGCUCACCUAGGCGACGAUCCCUAUCUGGUCUGAGAGGAUGACCAGCCACACUGGAACUGAGACACGGUCCAGACUCCUACGGGAGGCAGCAGUGGGGAAUAUUGCACAAUGGGCGCAAGCCUGAUUGCACCAUGCCGCG
This 357-nucleotide ribosomal RNA is filed under the name uncultured Pantoea sp. Its description in RNAcentral is "bacterial SSU rRNA". It matches the Rfam family "Bacterial small subunit ribosomal RNA", at positions 48 to 401 of the family's 1533-position model. The record is from RNAcentral. Lineage: Bacteria; Pseudomonadati; Pseudomonadota; Gammaproteobacteria; Enterobacterales; Erwiniaceae.